CAGUCCCAGACUCCCAAAGGUUCCUUUGGGAGUCUGGGACUGCACACAGGCACAAAUGAUAGAUUAUACCAGAUGUCUUACUCAGCCAAAAUUGUGUCAGCGAUUUUU
This is a non-coding RNA of Paramuricea clavata, 108 nucleotides long. The record is from the annotation of a GenBank genome assembly. NCBI's taxonomy places the organism in Eukaryota, Metazoa, Cnidaria, Anthozoa, Malacalcyonacea, Plexauridae.